GCCCGCACAAGCGGUGGAGCAUGUGGUUUAAUUCGAUGCAACGCGAAGAACCUUACCUGGUCUUGACAUCCACGGAAGUUUUCAGAGAUGAGAAUGUGCCUUCGGGAACCGUGAGACAGGUGCUGCAUGGCUGUCGUCAGCUCGUGUUGUGAAAUGUUGGGUUAAGUCCCGCAACGAGCGCAACCCUUAUCCUUUGUUGCCAGCGAUUCGGUCGGGAACUCAAAGGAGACUGCCGGUGAUAAACCGGAGGAAGGUGGGGAUGACGUCAAGUCAUCAUGGCCCUUACGAGUAGGGCUACACACGUGCUACAAUGGCGUAUACAAAGAGAAGCGACCUCGCGAGAGCAAGCGGAACUCAUAAAGUACGUCGUAGUCCGGAUUGGAGUCUGCAACUCGACUCCAUGAAGUCGGAAUCGCUAGUAAUCGUAGAUCAGAAUGCUACGGUGAAUACGUUCCCGGGCCUUGUACACACCGCCCGUCACACCAUGGGAGUGGGUUGCAAAAGAAGUAGGUAGCUUAACCUUCGGGAGGGCGCUUACCACUUUGUGAUUCAUGA
RNAcentral lists this ribosomal RNA (555 nucleotides) under uncultured bacterium. RNAcentral describes it as "bacterial SSU rRNA". It matches the Rfam family "Bacterial small subunit ribosomal RNA", at positions 919 to 1474 of the family's 1533-position model. The record is from RNAcentral.